RNAcentral lists this ribosomal RNA (301 nucleotides) under uncultured bacterium. Its description in RNAcentral is "partial 16S ribosomal RNA". It matches the Rfam family "Bacterial small subunit ribosomal RNA", at positions 509 to 809 of the family's 1533-position model. The record is from RNAcentral.
CAGUAGCCGCGGUAAUACAGAGGGUGCGAGCGUUAAUCGGAUUUACUGGGCGUAAAGCGUGCGUAGGCGGCUUUUUAAGUCGGAUGUGAAAUCCCUGAGCUUAACUUAGGAAUUGCAUUCGAUACUGGGAAGCUAGAGUAUGGGAGAGGAUGGUAGAAUUCCAGGUGUAGCGGUGAAAUGCGUAGAGAUCUGGAGGAAUACCGAUGGCGAAGGCAGCCAUCUGGCCUAAUACUGACGCUGAGGUACGAAAGCAUAGGGAGCAAACAGGAUUAGAUACCCGGGUAGUCCCUGUCUCUUAUAU